Molecule: ribosomal RNA, 379 nt
Filed under: uncultured eukaryote
Lineage: Eukaryota
Description: partial 18S ribosomal RNA
Rfam family: Eukaryotic small subunit ribosomal RNA
Source: RNAcentral
CAAUAGCGUAUAUUUAAGUUGUUGCAGUUAAAAAGCUCGUAGUUGGAUUUUGGGUCGGGGGCACCGGUCCGCCGUUCCGGUGUGCACUGGUGGCCCCUUCCUUUCUGCCGGGGACGUGCGUCGCACUUAAUUGGGUGGCGUUCGGAGUCGGCGUUAUUACUUUGAAAAAAUUAGAGUGUUCAAAGCAAGCCAUCGCUCUGAAUACAUUAGCAUGGAAUAACAUGAUAGGACUCCGGUCUUAUUUUGUUGGUUUCCGAGACUGGAGUAAUGAUUAAGAGGGACAGUCGGGGGCAUCCGUAUUUCAUUGUCAGAGGUGAAAUUCUUGGAUUUAUGAAAGACGAACUUCUGCGAAAGCAUUUGCCAAGGAUGUUUUCAUUAA